RNAcentral lists this long non-coding RNA (537 nucleotides) under Equus caballus (horse). RNAcentral's name for it is "lncRNA (ENSECAG00000056560.1)". The record is from RNAcentral. Lineage: Eukaryota; Metazoa; Chordata; Mammalia; Perissodactyla; Equidae.
GUCACUUCCGGCCGGAGAGCCUCUCGGCCCUGCUGUCCCGGUAAGCUCCUAGCUGCUGGUUUGAAGUCACUUCCGACCUGGUUCUCGGCUCCCUCGGGGAUCCGGGUGCUCUGCAGAUCUUGUUUACCCGGUUCUAUUUCGCCUGCCAUCCUAAACUGCGGCUGUGUAAUCCAGCACGGAGAAGUGCGUUUUUUGUUUCUCAAACUUCUUGGCCAGCUUCUGCAGCCUUCCGUGCUGCGGUCACUUCCCUCUGCGCCUCUGUACCUGGACCUCAGCACUUCUCCCAAGUCGCCCGACCCCUCUGGGAAAUCACAAGAGUGUUCGUGCUUUUCUUCUCAUUUCUUUGCCCAGUAGAAAGCUUGGGAGUGCGGGCUCUGAGGUUUCGAGUGCUGCUUCUCUUGUAACGGCGUUACCUAGAUACUGGUGGAAAGACCAAUAAAACCCAAGCCCUGCCUUCAAAGACAUGGAGAUAGUAAUUAUAGAAGGAAGAAGGUCAACCCUGGAAAAAACGGGACCAGCUAGCUGAGGAUUUAUCCG